This 467-nucleotide ribosomal RNA is filed under the name uncultured bacterium. RNAcentral's name for it is "partial 16S ribosomal RNA". It matches the Rfam family "Bacterial small subunit ribosomal RNA", at positions 28 to 507 of the family's 1533-position model. The record is from RNAcentral.
GACGAACGCUGGCGGCGUGCUUACACCUUCAAGGUCAACCGAAAGGCCCUGCUUUUUUGGGGUGGUCGGGUGGCGAACGGGUGGGUAACAAGUGAGUAACCUGCCCUUUACCUUGGGGUAACCUCAGGAAACUGGGGCUAAUACCCGAUAGGAACUUCUGCUGCCUGGUGGGGGGUUGAAAAGUUCGGCGGUUGGGGAUGGAUCUGCAGCUUUACCCCUUGUUGGGGGGGGAGUGGCUUACCACGGCUUUGCCGGGUAGCCGGCCUGAGAGGGUGACCGGCCACAUUGGUACUAAGAGACGGCCCAGACUCCUACGGGAGGCAACAGUGGGGAAUAUUGCACAAUGGGCGGAAGCCUGAUGCAGCAACGCCGCGUGCGGGAUGACGGCCUUCGGGUUGUAAACCGCUUUCGCCUGUGACGAAGCGUGAGUGACGGUAAUGGGUAAAGAAGCACCGGCUAACUACGUG